This 509-nucleotide ribosomal RNA is filed under the name uncultured bacterium. Its description in RNAcentral is "bacterial SSU rRNA". It matches the Rfam family "Bacterial small subunit ribosomal RNA", at positions 19 to 518 of the family's 1533-position model. The record is from RNAcentral.
CUGGCUCAGGAUGAACGCUAGCGACAGGCUUAACACAUGCAAGUCGAGGGGCAGCACGGGAGUAGCAAUACAACUGGUGGCGACCGGCGCACGGGUGAGUAACGCGUAUGCAACCUACCUAUCAGAGGGGAAUAACCCGGCGAAAGUCGGACUAAUACCGCAUAAAACAGGGGCACCGCAUGGUGAUAUUUGUUAAAGAAAUUCGCUGAUAGAUGGGCAUGCGUUCCAUUAGGUAGUUGGUGAGGUAACGGCUCACCAAGCCGACGAUGGAUAGGGGAACUGAGAGGUUGGUCCCCCACACUGGUACUGAGACACGGACCAGACUCCUACGGGAGGCAGCAGUGAGGAAUAUUGGUCAAUGGGCGGGAGCCUGAACCAGCCAAAGUCGCGUGAAGGAAGAAGGAUCUAUGGUUCGUAAACUUCUUUUGCAGGGGAAUAAAGUGCGGGACGUGUCCUGUUUUGUAUGUACCCUGAGAAUAAGGAUCGGCUAACUCCGUGCCAGCCGCCGC